This 139-nucleotide small nucleolar RNA is filed under the name Ornithorhynchus anatinus (platypus). Lineage: Eukaryota; Metazoa; Chordata; Mammalia; Monotremata; Ornithorhynchidae. The record is from RNAcentral.
CCUCUCUCAAGGGUCACACCUGGAGAGUUUCCAGUACUCUACCAGUCUCGACUAUGGGAGAGACAGUCAAGCAGAGGCCUGUCCAUUCCAUUCCUAGCUUGGGCAGGGGCUAAUGAAUGGAAGGCAGUCUGCUACAAGU